This 429-nucleotide ribosomal RNA is filed under the name Actinomycetes bacterium. RNAcentral describes it as "Actinobacteria bacterium partial 16S ribosomal RNA". It matches the Rfam family "Bacterial small subunit ribosomal RNA", at positions 355 to 776 of the family's 1533-position model. The record is from RNAcentral. Lineage: Bacteria; Bacillati; Actinomycetota; Actinomycetes.
UAGGGAAUCUUCCGCAAUGGGCGAAAGCCUGACGGAGCAACGCCGCGUGAGUGAUGAAGGUCUUCGGAUCGUAAAACUCUGUUAUUAGGGAAGAACAAAUGUGUAAGUAACUAUGCACGUCUUGACGGUACCUAAUCAGAAAGCCACGGCUAACUACGUGCCAGCAGCCGCGGUAAUACGUAGGUGGCAAGCGUUAUCCGGAAUUAUUGGGCGUAAAGCGCGCGUAGGCGGUUUUUUAAGUCUGAUGUGAAAGCCCACGGCUCAACCGUGGAAGGUCAUUGGAAACUGGAAAACUUGAGUGCAGAAGAGGGAAGUGGAAUUCCAUGUGUAGCGGUGAAAUGCGCAGAGAUAUGGAGGAACACCAGUGGCGAAGGCGACUUUCUGGUCUGUAACUGAAGCUGAUGUGCGAAAGCGUGGGGAUCAAACAGG